GACGAACGCUGGCGGCGUGCUUAAUACAUGCCAGUCGAACGGUGAAGCGCCUUCCUUUUUGGUGGGUGUGGAUGAGUGGCGAACGGGUGAGUAACACGUGAGUAACCUGCUCCCUUCUUCUGGAUAACCGCAUGAAAGUGUGGCUAAUACGGGAUAUUCUGGGUCUGUCGCAUGAUGGGUCUGGAGAAGAUAUUGUUUCGGUGGGGGAUGGGCUCGCGGCCUAUCAGCUUGUUGGGUGGGUGAUGGGCUACCAAGGCGGUGACGGGUAGCCGGCCUGGGAGGAUUGGCGGUCACACGGGGGCGGAGACACGGCCAAGACUCCUACGGGAAGCAGCAGUGAGGAAUAUUGCACAAUGGGCGCAAGCCUGAUGCAGCGACGCCGCAGGAGAGAUGGAGGCCUUCGGGUUGUGAACCUCUUUCGCCAGUGAAGCAGGCCUGCCUCGUUUGUGGGUGGGUUGACGGUAGCUAGAUAAGAAGCGCCGGCUAACUACGUG
RNAcentral lists this ribosomal RNA (494 nucleotides) under uncultured bacterium. Its description in RNAcentral is "partial 16S ribosomal RNA". It matches the Rfam family "Bacterial small subunit ribosomal RNA", at positions 28 to 507 of the family's 1533-position model. The record is from RNAcentral.